Long non-coding RNA from Chenopodium quinoa (quinoa), 1376 nucleotides. RefSeq lists it as uncharacterized. The transcript has 5 exons. Lineage: Eukaryota; Viridiplantae; Streptophyta; Magnoliopsida; Caryophyllales; Amaranthaceae. The record is from RefSeq and is a predicted model, not a curated record.
AAUAAAAAAAAAAGAAAAUAAAAGGGUGAUGUGAUAAAUAGUCACCACCUUAGCAAAUAAACAAGCUUGGGGGUGCAUUUUUUCUUACACUAGUAGAAAAAAUGAAAUAGGCACCGCACUUUUUGCACCGGUUCUUGAAAAUCGGUGGGAAAAGAAAUCGGCAGGAUUGGAAAAAAGACUUUUCCCACCGGUUCUAACCAAACCGGUGGAAAAAGUAUGUUUUUCGCACCGGUUCUAACAAAACCGGUGGGAAAAGUGAGUGAUUCGGACCGGUUCAUUUCAAACCGGUGGGAAAACUGUUAUUAAAAAAAAAAAAAAACCUCUUAUAUUCUUCUUUCUUUCUCUUUCAAUUCCUCGAUCUUUCCUCCUCUCUCGUCUGAGCUACCUCUCUCUCCUCUCCCUCUCCUCCAUUAAAACGAAUCUCUUUGUACUCAUUCCUCUCUCUCUGUACUCCUUCAUAUCUUUCUCCCUGUACUCCUUCCUCUCUCCGUCCUCCAUUUAAGCGUUUCUCGCUGUACUCCUUCCUCUCUCUCUCCUCCAUUUAAGCGUACUCGAAAUUCUCCAUUGAAAGGGCUUCUGAGCUUUCUCUCCUUCAUUGAAGCAGUCUCUAAGAUGAGUAUGUUAUAUGUAAUGGGUGUAAGAGCUCAUAUACCAUAUUGUCGAAGGAAAAUCGACUCUUCUUCCUCAGAUGUGAACAGGUCCAGCUUUUGAUGGUAAACGUUCUGAAGAAUCUGACAAAAUUAUUGAAGAAUAGCAAUAGCAGUAGUGAAAUUAUACAGAGGUUGCCCUAUAUUUAAACACCCCUUGUUUUUCACAUGGACGGCUUUAUGUUGGUCUAUGAUCAGAGUUGGCUGCAGAAAUAGAGAAAAUCGAUUUAUAAAUGAUGGAUUUAGGAGGGAGUUAGCAGGAUUGACGAUAUAGUGACUUAAAAUGCAAAACACGUGGCUUAUAGGUGCUGUAAUACAGAAGUUCAUAGGUGAACUUUUAAUCAAGUAGACAGAUUAUUAUUCAUUCAGAUUGGACCAUCAAAUCACAUGUUCUUACAAAGCAAGGAGUUCUAACAUGGAUUUACAAAGCAAAGCAAUGCAAGCAGUAGCAGAAUAACAAUAGCAGAACAGCAAGCAGAACACAAAGUAGCAGAAGCAGAACAAUAGUAGCAGAAGCAGUAGCAGAACAGCAGUAGCAGUAGCAGAAGCAGAACAGCAGUAGUUAUGAUAUCCUGGCUGUGAUAGUUCUUGGAGUUAUCGGAGGUGUUCAGGGCAGCUUUUAUAAUUAUCUUGUUGACAUGCACUAUCGUUCACAACGUUGUAGCACCAGGCCCAGCAAAACAGCUAUAUGUUUUUUUUUUCAGUUUUUAAUGUGUAAUAUUACAAGUU